AACGCACAUUGCGCCCCUUGGUAUUCCGAGGGGCAUGCCUGUUCGAGCGUCAUUACAACCCUCAAGCACUGCUUGGUCUUGGGCUCCGCUGCUAACCCAGCGGGCCUUAAAAUGAGUGGCGGCGCCAUCAGGCUCUGAGCGUAGUAAAUUUCCUCGCUACGGAGUCCUGGUGACGGUGGUCAUCAACCCCCAACUUUCUAAGUUUGACCUCGGAUCAGGUAGGGAUACCCGCUGAACUUAA
Molecule: unclassified non-coding RNA, 241 nt
Filed under: uncultured fungus
Lineage: Eukaryota; Fungi
Description: sequence contains ITS2
Rfam family: 5.8S ribosomal RNA (bases 1-52)
Source: RNAcentral